AGUGAAGCUGGCGGUAGGCCUAACACAUGCAAGUCGAACGGCAGCACAGUAAGAGCUUGCUCUUACGGGUGGCGAGUGGCGGACGGGUGAGGAAUACAUCGGAAUCUACUUUUUCGUGGGGGAUAACGUAGGGAAACUUACGCUAAUACCGCAUACGACCUACGGGUGAAAGCAGGGGAUCUUCGGACCUUGCGCGAUUGAAUGAGCCGAUGUCGGAUUAGCUAGUUGGCGGGGUAAAGGCCCACCAAGGCGACGAUCCGUAGCUGGUCUGAGAGGAUGAUCAGCCACACUGGAACUGAGACACGGUCCAGACUCCUACGGGAGGCAGCAGUGGGGAAUAUUGGACAAUGGGCGCAAGCCUGAUCCAGCCAUACCGCGUGGGUGAAGAAGGCCUUCGGGUUGUAAAGCCCUUUUGUUGGGAAAGAAAAGCAGCAGGUUAAUACCCCGCUGUUCUGACGGUACCCAAAGAAUAAGCACCGGCUAACUUCGUG
Molecule: ribosomal RNA, 491 nt
Filed under: uncultured bacterium
Lineage: Bacteria
Description: partial 16S ribosomal RNA
Rfam family: Bacterial small subunit ribosomal RNA
Source: RNAcentral